RNAcentral lists this unclassified non-coding RNA (400 nucleotides) under uncultured fungus. RNAcentral's name for it is "sequence contains ITS1". The stretch from base 1 to 102 matches the Rfam family "5.8S ribosomal RNA", at positions 50 to 154 of the family's 154-position model. Lineage: Eukaryota; Fungi. The record is from RNAcentral.
AAAGUGCGAAAAGUGUCAUGACUUGCAGAUUCCCGAGAGCUGACAAAUCUCUGAAUGCAAAUGGCAGUCGCGUUAGACCCGACUAUGUAUUGUAGAGUGUAGAUGCUCCAGCUAUUCAUCAUGUAAUAUAUAGGUACAUAUGCGCAUUUUGUGUGUGUAUGUCUGUAUAUUACCAUGGAUCUGCGCUUGCGAGAGACCCCGCUCCUUCGCGAGUGUUAAAAGAAAAGGUCUACGAUGUGUAUAUACCCUAUACAUACUCGUGCACCGAUGAUCUAGGGAAGAGAGCUUUCUCUCUCGCCCCGAAACAAUCGGAUGUCAACUUUAUACUUGAGACCAACAAGACAACGCGUCUAUAUAUAUCUAUAUGAGCCACCUCUACAAUGCAUGAAAACCCGCUGAA